RNAcentral lists this ribosomal RNA (989 nucleotides) under uncultured Bacteroides sp. Its description in RNAcentral is "bacterial SSU rRNA". It matches the Rfam family "Bacterial small subunit ribosomal RNA", at positions 1 to 933 of the family's 1533-position model. Lineage: Bacteria; Pseudomonadati; Bacteroidota; Bacteroidia; Bacteroidales; Bacteroidaceae. The record is from RNAcentral.
UUNGGAGCUCUCCCNUAUGGUCGACCUGCAGGCGGCCGCGAAUUCACUAGUGAUUAGAGUUUGAUCCUGGCUCAGGAUGAACGCUAGCUACAGGCUUAACACAUGCAAGUCGAGGGGCAGCAUUUUAGUUUGCUUGCAAACUAAAGAUGGCGACCGGCGCACGGGUGAGUAACACGUAUCCAACCUGCCGAUAACUCGGGGAUAGCCUUUCGAAAGAAAGAUUAAUAUCCGAUAGUAUAUUAAAACCGCAUGGUUUUACUAUUAAAGAAUUUCGGUUAUCGAUGGGGAUGCGUUCCAUUAGUUUGUUGGCGGGGUAACGGCCCACCAAGACUACGAUGGAUAGGGGUUCUGAGAGGAAGGUCCCCCACAUUGGAACUGAGACACGGUCCAAACUCCUACGGGAGGCAGCAGUGAGGAAUAUUGGUCAAUGGACGAGAGUCUGAGCCAGCCAAGUAGCGUGAAGGAUGACUGCCCUAUGGGUUGUAAACUUCUUUUAUAUGGGAAUAAAGUAUUCCACGUGUGGGAUUUUGUAUGUACCAUAUGAAUAAGGAUCGGCUAACUCCGUGCCAGCAGCCGCGGUAAUACGGAGGAUCCGAGCGUUAUCCGGAUUUAUUGGGUUUAAAGGGAGCGUAGGUGGAUUGUUAAGUCAGUUGUGAAAGUUUGCGGCUCAACCGUAAAAUUGCAGUUGAAACUGGCAGUCUUGAGUACAGUAGAGGUGGGCGGAAUUCGUGGUGUAGCGGUGAAAUGCUUAGAUAUCACGAAGAACUCCGAUUGCGAAGGCAGCUCACUAGACUGCAACUGACACUGAUGCUCGAAAGUGUGGGUAUCAAACAGGAUUAGAUACCCUGGUAGUCCACACAGUAAACGAUGAAUACUCGCUGUUUGCGAUAUACAGUAAGCGGCCAAGCGAAAGCAUUAAGUAUUCCACCUGGGGAGUACGCCGGCAACGGUGAAACUCAAAGGNANNGACGGGGGNCCGCACAAGCNGA